This 242-nucleotide ribosomal RNA is filed under the name uncultured bacterium. RNAcentral's name for it is "partial 16S ribosomal RNA". It matches the Rfam family "Bacterial small subunit ribosomal RNA", at positions 524 to 761 of the family's 1533-position model. The record is from RNAcentral.
UACGUAGGGGGCGAGCGUUAUCCGGAAUUACUGGGCGUAAAGCGCACGCAGGCGGUUCGCCAAGUUUGGAGUGACAGUUGUCCGGCUCAACCGACAAAGGACUUCAAAAACUGGUGAACUUGAGGACGAGAGAGGGAACAUGGAACUCCGAGGUGUAGUAGUGAAAUGCGUAGAUAUCUGGAAGAACACCAAUGGCGAAGGCGAAUGUUCUGGCUCGUUUCUGACGCUCAGGUGCGAAAGCC